Molecule: long non-coding RNA, 1377 nt
Organism: Capra hircus (goat)
Lineage: Eukaryota; Metazoa; Chordata; Mammalia; Artiodactyla; Bovidae
Exons: 3
Source: RefSeq, a predicted model, not a curated record
GUGUUCGGACCUGCUUUUGACUUUAGAUUGGGAAGGCAGGGCCCCCACGUGUUCCGUGGUGUCAGAGUUGCUGUGCUCGCUCGCUCCCACCCGCUGGCCGAACCCCAAACCCGCAGAAUGACGCUGAUCCGCGGCGCCAGUUCCCGCCCUGGGGCGCUGACGAAGCUGCCGGCAACCGGACUUCAGGAAUCAUUCCCAGCAUAGAAAUUGGGUGUUGGACGGAAGAGGCCAAACUCAGGCACCAGGGUCGGGGUGAGGGGCUACAGUAGGAGGCGCUGCACCCCUUAGAAAAGUCUUGGAUCCCAGGCUGGAAGGGCAGCAUGAGGUUUAGGGGGUGUGUAAACAUCCAUGAAACUUAUUCUGGCCGCCGCCCCUGACCUCAGACGUGGGGUUUAUUCUCCUAGAGCACGUGGAUCUCUUUCCCCAGGGUUUUAUGAGAAGAUGAGAGCUCUCUGGCCCCCGGCGGUUGGGUGAAGGCAUUGCAAUCUUUGCUACUCCUCUGCGGCGAGCCUAGAGCAUAUUCGGAGUGACGUCAGUUUCGGGGAUCCAGUUGGUCCGUGGCACGUGGGACUCUUCCUGGACCAAGGAUCGAGGCCGUGUCCCCUGCACUGGCAGAUGGAUUCUUAACCACUGGAGCACCAGGGAAGUCCCUGAAAUGUUCAUUCAAAUGUAAAUGGCCGUGUGUGCCUGGCAGCUGCUGCGUGGAACAGUGCAGGUCUGGAAGUUACUGGAAGAGCAGUGCCACCCUUACUGGAAUUGUGACACCUGAGCCCUUUCACUUCCUGGACAGAGGCCGAGACGAGUUCCACUUGGAGAGAACCCUCCUGUUGGUCUUUGCUGGGGAUCUCACUCAGUAACUACUAGUGGAACUGCUUUGCACUUUUAUUUCCUUGGUGUGGUUCAGCCUACUCCGUGAAGCAUCGUUCCUCCUUCUGUCUUUGCCUGUUUCAUUGUCAGCACACUGAUGGAGAAGCGAUCCUUCAUCACGUUGAAGUACCUACAGCAGUCAAAGUGUUACGUCUCUGCUUUGGAGGGAACGUCAAGAAAAGCGUGGUCCCUGGCCAUCCGGGGUUUGGGGUGCAGAGAGGCAGACAGCAGGAAGUGCCGGACCCCAGCAAGACGAGUUUCCAGUGGGACCCGGCAGGAUGUAACCCUGUGAGGAAGUGAAGGUCAUUUCCAGCUGAUGAAACAUGACAGAAGGCGGGAAGCAUGAAAGUGAGUUCACUGGAGGAGGUGUGUGCUUGCCGAGUGAACACCUGCUGAGUUUGUUUCUGCCUGGUUCUCUGUGCCUGAAAUAUAGUGGUUGUGUUUUAGCAUUUUCUGAGUUUGUCUGAUUUCAUUCUUAUCUACAUAAUUUUUGAAUGCUGACCUGCUUAA